Long non-coding RNA from Strongylocentrotus purpuratus (purple sea urchin), 310 nucleotides. RefSeq lists it as uncharacterized. The transcript is spliced from 3 exons. NCBI's taxonomy places the organism in Eukaryota, Metazoa, Echinodermata, Echinoidea, Camarodonta, Strongylocentrotidae. The record is from RefSeq and is a predicted model, not a curated record.
UGGUAUUAACCAGAGCCAAUGGCAACACGUGGAUAAUUGCGGACCAAUUAGAAAUGUCACAGAUACUCUCACCAAAAUAGCUCAGGUAAUCGUAAGUGAAGAAAACGCAGGUGAAGUGAGCCAGCAAGUAUCAUCUGUUACUUCCAACAUCGAAGAUAUCACAUCAGAUGACAUCACGUUUGUGGCAAAGAUAACAUCACAAAUUGUGCAGCAAAAUCUUACAAGUGAAGAGGUAACGGAGUCUAUAACGAGUAUUGCGAGCAAUAUAGCUCAGGUAGAAACAGAGGAACUUGUAGCUGCUGAGGAAGAC